This 96-nucleotide non-coding RNA is filed under the name unclassified sequences. RNAcentral describes it as "wcaG RNA". It matches the Rfam family "wcaG RNA". The record is from RNAcentral.
UUUGGUUUCUUGCUUCCUAAAAGCAAGUGGUGCGGAUGGGAUUAUCUCCCGCCAGGUUUCUUAUUUCCUGUAAAAGAAUAAGUGGCGUGCAUGUAA